CAUUCUGUCCUGCUUGUCCCCGUUCUCGGACACGUAGUGCCCCAACUCGUUCACGUCACCGUCGUUGUAGCUGCCGUCCAUCAUCAUGGGCCGGGGCUGAGGAAGGCUGCACGCGCAGGGGAGCUGUGGGCACAGGCAAGGGAAGAGCAUUUUGGAGUUAUUUCACAUCUGCUGGACACGACGUAAUCACAGAGAGAGCGAGGCUGUCUG
RNAcentral lists this long non-coding RNA (210 nucleotides) under Gallus gallus (chicken). The record is from RNAcentral. Lineage: Eukaryota; Metazoa; Chordata; Aves; Galliformes; Phasianidae.